AACAAGGUUCUCCUCUCUCUCUCUUCUGUAAAUGCAUGUUCUUUUCAUUUAUCUUGCAGACUCUGAAAACCUGUUUUCGUAUAAUGCAUUCAUCCAUGUAAAUCUCCUACAUUGUCUGCUGACAAGCCUAGAUGACCAACAAGGAGGGGGAAAAAGUAAGAGAGCAAAAAGGGGGAAAAGAAGAGGCAAAAUUCACUUCUGUCAUUUAUGAAGCUGAAUUCAAAUAUGUCUUCAUUGGAUUAUUUAUUUUUCUUUUUAGUUCUUCCAUGU
RNAcentral lists this unclassified non-coding RNA (270 nucleotides) under Hevea brasiliensis (rubber tree). The record is from RNAcentral. Lineage: Eukaryota; Viridiplantae; Streptophyta; Magnoliopsida; Malpighiales; Euphorbiaceae.